Molecule: ribosomal RNA, 301 nt
Filed under: uncultured bacterium
Lineage: Bacteria
Description: partial 16S ribosomal RNA
Rfam family: Bacterial small subunit ribosomal RNA
Source: RNAcentral
CAGUCGCCGCGGGAACACGGAGGGAGCUAGCGUUGUUCGGAAUUACUGGGCGUAAAGCGCGCGUAGGCGGUUACUCAAGUCAGAGGUGAAAGCCCGGGGCUCAACCCCGGAACUGCCUUUGAAACUAGGUGACUAGAAUCUUGGAGAGGUCAGUGGAAUUCCGAGUGUAGAGGUGAAAUUCGUAGAUAUUCGGAAGAACACCAGUGGCGAAGGCGACUGACUGGACAAGUAUUGACGCUGAGGUGCGAAAGCGUGGGGAGCAAACAGGAUUAGAUACCCCGGUAGUCCCUGUCUCUUAUAC